GAUUGAACCUGGCGGAGGCUUAAACAUGCAAGUCGAGCGGGGGAAGGAGUUGCUACCGGACCUAGCGGCGGACGGGUGAGUAAUGCUUAGGAAUCUGCCUAUUAGUGGGGGACAACAUCUCGAAAGGGAUGCUAAUACCGCAUACGUCCUACGGGAGAAAGCAGGGGAUCUUCGGACCUUGCGCUAAUAGAUGAGCCUAAGUCGGAUUAGCUAGUUGGUGGGGUAAAGGCCUACCAAGGCGACGAUCUGUAGCGGGUCUGAGAGGAUGAUCCGCCACACUGGGACUGAGACACGGCCCAGACUCCUACGGGAGGCAGCAGUGGGGAAUAUUGGACAAUGGGGGGAACCCUGAUCCAGCCAUGCCGCGUGUGUGAAGAAGGCUUAUGGUUGUAAAGCACUUUAAGCGAGGAGGAGGCUACUUUAGUUAAUACUAGAGAUAUGGACGUUACUCNCAAAAUAAGCACCGGCUAACUCUUUCACACCCGGG
RNAcentral lists this ribosomal RNA (487 nucleotides) under Acinetobacter baumannii. RNAcentral's name for it is "bacterial SSU rRNA". It matches the Rfam family "Bacterial small subunit ribosomal RNA", at positions 36 to 519 of the family's 1533-position model. Lineage: Bacteria; Pseudomonadati; Pseudomonadota; Gammaproteobacteria; Moraxellales; Moraxellaceae. The record is from RNAcentral.